UAUGGUCGUAUAUUGAGGCUGUCGAUUGUCAUUCAUGUUGGGACGCCUUUAAUAUAGUCGUAUAUUGAGGCUGUCGAUUGUCAUUCAUGUUGGGACGCCUUUAAUAUGGUCGUAUAUUGAGGCUGUCGAUUGUCAUUCAUUUCAUCUUUUAACCGUGUUAUAACCGAUAGCCUAGCAUACAACGUAAUUUAAUAAAUCUCGCUGGGAUGUGGCAUAUCACCAUUUGCCUGGCACUGCCGUUUGCACUCUUAGGCACGUAAUUGUAUCUCAAGUUUUAUUGAAGUCUGAAACUGGGACUCGGCAACACUUGAUUUUGAGCAAAAAGCCAUUCCAGGGAUUUAUGCCGUAGUGAACAAACGAGCAACUAUUGUAGUGAAUAAAGAAGAAAUAAGUGAAUAGAAAAGACAACACAUUGAAAUUUAACCACCGAAAAAAGAUGAAGCUGGCCGGUUUCCUUUGCGCGGUUCUUAUCGUCGGGAUCAUUGCUAGCCAAGUUGCCGACGUCGACGCUUGGAGGUAUGGAUAUCGUUGCUGUCGCAGGUUACGCUGCGACUAUGACCAAGAAUGCGUGACGUAUGGAAGACGCUGUAGAUGCAGGGAUAAAAUUGUGAUGUCGUACAUGCUGCAAAUACCUGACAAUACAUAUGAUCAGCCGAGUUUCCGGUAUCCAGCCUAGCAAAUAUCGAGCCAAGCGGAAGUGCAUACUGAAUGUGGUUUUUUCUCAGAUACGUUAGAUCUUUACUUGGUGUGUUAAUUGCCUACGUUAUCUCUGCUAGAGAAGAGCUUUUAUCCGACAUAGUUCCCGUCCACGCAUGAUAUUCUAUUCCGGCCUUAUACUUCUUGAUGUAACUUUAGCUUUCUCUUCGUUCCCUUAGUUCCUAAGACAGAAACCUUUGGAGUUGCCGAUUUUAUGAAAAUGAGACCAUCUGAAAAUGCAUUGAGAAUUCGACCCAUGAGAACUCGAGCCAUCCAAUCGAAUUUUAUACGAACAGUUAAAAGAAAUCGGUCCUUCUUAAACAGUUCGAGCCAACGAGGUCUUCGAGCCAAACGAUAUCGAGCCAACGAAUUUUGACUGUGGUUCCUACUAGAAUAGUGAUGUACUCCUAAAAGAUCAGAGGUCAGUCUAUGCGUUUUGCUCGGAGAUGUCGAAGAACAACAAUUUUGAACGAAAAAAACACUACGUCUGUCCUUUUUUACUACAAAAGAUUUUCAAUGACGGCGUUAGCCUGGAAAAAAUCUAAAAAUUGUAAUUCAAGCGCCCUGCUUUAAGAAAUGAUUACGAUGUCUCUGCUUAUCAACUGAUCACGAUUAUCUGUGUUCUUAACAUUUACAUACUAUACAUCAUACCGCAUUUAACAAUGUAUCAUUUUGAUACAGAUACAAAUAUUUUUUGUAGAUCUAGUAACUAUCUCAACAAAUAAAGGAUGCAUAAUUGA
Mya arenaria is the source of this 1436-nucleotide long non-coding RNA. RefSeq lists it as uncharacterized. The record is from RefSeq and is a predicted model, not a curated record. The transcript has 2 exons. NCBI's taxonomy places the organism in Eukaryota, Metazoa, Mollusca, Bivalvia, Myida, Myidae.